RNAcentral lists this unclassified non-coding RNA (515 nucleotides) under uncultured Paraglomus. Its description in RNAcentral is "bacterial SSU rRNA". It matches the Rfam family "Eukaryotic small subunit ribosomal RNA", at positions 569 to 1084 of the family's 1831-position model. The record is from RNAcentral. Lineage: Eukaryota; Fungi; Glomeromycota; Glomeromycetes; Paraglomerales; Paraglomeraceae.
AGCAGCCGCGGUAAUUCCAGCUCCAAUAGCGUAUAUUAAAGUUGUUGCAGUUAAAAAGCUCGUAGUUGAACUUCAGGCCUGUCCAGAUGGUCCGCCUUAAUUGGUGUGUACUGUCCUUGGGUGGGUCCUACCUUCUGGCGAAGCGGCAUGGCCUUAGUUGGUUGUGUCGGGGAACCAGGACUUUUACUGUGAAAAAUUAGAGUGUUCAAAGCAGGCAUAUAUGCUCGAAUACAUUAGCAUGGAAUAAUGGAAUAGGACGAUGGUUCUAUUUUGUUGGUUCUAGGACCGUUGUAAUGAUUAAUAGGGAUAGUUGGGGGCAUUAGUAUUCAAUUGUCAGAGGUGAAAUUCUUGGAUUUAUUGAAGACUAACUACUGCGAAAGCAUUUGCCAAGGAUGUUUUCAUUAAUCUAAGAACGAAAGUUAGGGGAUCGAAGACGAUCAGAUACCGUCGUAGUCUUAACCAUAAACUAUGCCGACUAGGAAUCGGGCGAUGUUGACAAAAUGACUCGACUCGGA